AGAUUGAACGCUGGCGGCAUGCCUAACACAUGCAAGUCGAACGGGAGUAGCAAUACUCUAGUGGCGGACGGGUGAGGAGUACGUAGGAAUUUGCCCUUAAGUGGGGGAUAACCCGGGGAAACCCGGAUUAAUACCGCAUGACCUCGAAAGAGCAAAGUGGGGGAUCGCAAGACCUCACGCUUUUGGAGAAGCCUACGUCGGAUUAGCUAGUUGGUGAGGUAAUGGCUCACCAAGGCGACGAUCCGUAACUGGUCUGAGAGGAUGAUCAGUCACACCGGAACUGAGACACGGUCCGGACUCCUACGGGAGGCAGCAGUGGGGAAUAUUGGACAAUGGGCGCAAGCCUGAUCCAGCAAUGCCGCGUGUGUGAAGAAGGCCUUCGGUUGUAAAGCACUUUAAGUUAGGGAAGAAAAACUACGACUCUAACACAGUGAGUCUUAGACGGUACCGACAGAAUAAGACACCGGACUAACUCUGUAGCCGUAGCACGCCGACGGUAAUCGUGAGCGGCGUGACG
This 517-nucleotide ribosomal RNA is filed under the name uncultured soil bacterium. RNAcentral describes it as "bacterial SSU rRNA". It matches the Rfam family "Bacterial small subunit ribosomal RNA", at positions 26 to 540 of the family's 1533-position model. The record is from RNAcentral.